Molecule: ribosomal RNA, 661 nt
Filed under: uncultured bacterium
Lineage: Bacteria
Description: bacterial SSU rRNA
Rfam family: Bacterial small subunit ribosomal RNA
Source: RNAcentral
ACGCUGGCGGCAGGCCUAACACAUGCAAGUCGAGCGGUAGAGAGAAGCUUGCUUCUCUUGAGAGCGGCGGACGGGUGAGUAAUGCCUAGGAAUCUGCCUGGUAGUGGGGGAUAACGUUCGGAAACGGACGCUAAUACCGCAUACGUCCUACGGGAGAAAGCAGGGGACCCUCGGGCCUUGCGCUAUCAGAUGAGCCUAGGUCGGAUUAGCUAGUUGGUGGGGUAAUGGCUCACCAAGGCGACGAUCCGUAACUGGUCUGAGAGGAUGAUCAGUCACACUGGAACUGAGACACGGUCCAGACUCCUACGGGAGGCAGCAGUGGGGAAUAUUGGACAAUGGGCGAAAGCCUGAUCCAGCCAUGCCGCGUGUGUGAAGAAGGUCUUCGGAUUGUAAAGCACUUUAAGUUGGGAGGAAGGGCCAUUACCUAAUACGUGAUGGUUUUGACGUUACCGACAGAAUAAGCACCGGCUAACUCUGUGCCAGCAGCCGCGGUAAUACAGAGGGUGCAAGCGUUAAUCGGAAUUACUGGGCGUAAAGCGCGCGUAGGUGGUUUGUUAAGUUGGAUGUGAAAUCCCCGGGCUCAACCUGGGAACUGCAUUCAAACUGACUGACUAGAGUAUGGUAGAGGGUGGUGGAAUUUCCUGUGUAGCGGUGGAAAUGC